Long non-coding RNA from Alligator mississippiensis (American alligator), 435 nucleotides. RefSeq lists it as uncharacterized. The transcript has 3 exons. NCBI's taxonomy places the organism in Eukaryota, Metazoa, Chordata, Crocodylia, Alligatoridae. The record is from RefSeq and is a predicted model, not a curated record.
GUUGAGAGCUGUGGGUUUCCUGUGACUGGCAGAGAGAGCUGGUAUCGCUGCUGGGCAACUCCUUGGUCAGCAGUGAUUCCUACUUGGGGGGCAGAAGGCAUGGGAAGUCCUGGUGUGAGUGUCAUGUCACCCUGUGCAGGACUAUCUCCAAGGGAAAAGAGCCAGGACCCACACGGCCUUGAUACUGGCCUACAGCCGAAUUGCUGUCCAUGCCCCCCAAACGCAGCUGCUCUCCCGCGUGGAGCGUGACAUCACCAGGAAGGUCCUGCAGUAUUACACGACCAGCUGCCAGGUGCUUGGCAUCAACAUUGUCAAUAAGGACCCAGACUUAAAGCUGACCCUGAUUCAGUCAGUCACUGAGAUCAGCCGUGCCAUCCGGGAUGUAGACGACUCCCAGAACUUCCAGUUCACUUACAAAGAGGAGCUCCUGGGGUA